This 120-nucleotide non-coding RNA is filed under the name Heterosigma akashiwo. Lineage: Eukaryota; Raphidophyceae; Chattonellales; Chattonellaceae. The record is from RNAcentral.
CCAGAUACCGUACCAAAAAGACUUGGGCCAUUACUUGAAAAACACUUCUCAUUUUGUACUUCUUCAGUUGUUGAGGAGGCCGUGUCAGCGGACGGCACGCUCAAGCUCGUGGUCCGGCUU